UACGUAGGGGGCUAGCGUUGUCCGGAUUUAUUGGGCGUAAAGAGCGUGUAGGCGGCCAGGUAGGUCCGUUGUGAAAACUCGAGGCUCAACCUCGAGACGUCGGCGGAAACCAUCUGGCUAGAGUCCGGAAGAGGAGAGUGGAAUUCCUGGUGUAGCGGUGAAAUGCGCAGAUAUCGGGAGGAACACCGGUGGCGAAGGCGGUUCUCUGGGCCUGACCUGACGCUGAGGAGCGAAAGCGUGGGGAGCGAACAGG
This 253-nucleotide ribosomal RNA is filed under the name uncultured bacterium. Its description in RNAcentral is "partial 16S ribosomal RNA". It matches the Rfam family "Bacterial small subunit ribosomal RNA", at positions 524 to 776 of the family's 1533-position model. The record is from RNAcentral.